UUGAUUAUGACGUACUUGUACUGAUUGAGAUUUUAACACGAAGUGAGUGGCGAACGGGUGAGUAACACGUGGGUAACCUGCCCAGAAGUAGGGGAUAACACCUGGAAACAGAUGCUAAUACCGUAUAACAGAGAAAACCGCAUGGUUUUCUUUUAAAAGAUGGCUCUGCUAUCACUUCUGGAUGGACCCGCGGCGUAUUAGCUAGUUGGUGAGGUAAAGGCUCACCAAGGCAGUGAUACGUAGCCGACCUGAGAGGGUAAUCGGCCACAUUGGGACUGAGACACGGCCCAGACUCCUACGGGAGGCAGCAGUAGGGAAUCUUCCACAAUGGACGCAAGUCUGAUGGAGCAACGCCGCGUGAGUGAAGAAGGGUUUCGGCUCGUAAAGCUCUGUUGUUAAAGAAGAACGUGGGUAAGAGUAACUGUUUACCCAGUGACGGUAUUUAACCAGAAAGCCACGGCUAACUACGUGCCAGCAGCCGCGGUAAUACGUAGGUGGCAAGCGUUAUCCGGAUUUAUUGGGCGUAAAGCGAGCGCAGGCGGUCUUUUAAGUCUAAUGUGAAAGCCUUCGGCUCAACCGAAGAAGUGCAUUGGAAACUGGGAGACUUGAGUGCAGAAGAGGACAGUGGAACUCCAUGUGUAGCGGUGAAAUGCGUAGAUAUAUGGAAGAACACCAGUGGCGAAGGCGGCUGUCUGGUCUGCAACUGACGCUGAGGCUCGAAAGCAUGGGUAGCGAACAGGAUUAGAUACCCUGGUAGUCCAUGCCGUAAACGAUGAUUACUAAGUGUUGGAGGGUUUCCGCCCUUCAGUGCUGCAGCUAACGCAUUAAGUAAUCCGCCUGGGGAGUACGACCGCAAGGUUGAAACUCAAAAGAAUUGACGGGGGCCCGCACAAGCGGUGGAGCAUGUGGUUUAAUUCGAAGCUACGCGAAGAACCUUACCAGGUCUUGACAUCUUCUGACAGUCUAAGAGAUUAGAGGUUCCCUUCGGGGACAGAAUGACAGGUGGUGCAUGGUUGUCGUCAGCUCGUGUCGUGAGAUGUUGGGUUAAGUCCCGCAACGAGCGCAACCCUUAUUACUAGUUGCCAGCAUUAAGUUGGGCACUCUAGUGAGACUGCCGGUGACAAACCGGAGGAAGGUGGGGACGACGUCAAAUCAUCAUGCCCCUUAUGACCUGGGCUACACACGUGCUACAAUGGAUGGUACAACGAGUCGCGAGACCGCGAGGUUAAGCUAAUCUCUUAAAACCAUUCUCAGUUCGGACUGUAGGCUGCAACUCGCCUACACGAAGUCGGAAUCGCUAGUAAUCGCGGAUCAGCAUGCCGCGGUGAAUACGUUCCCGGGCCUUGUACACACCGCCCGUCACACCAUGAGAGUUUGUAACACCCAAAGCCGGUGGGGUAACCUUUAGGAG
RNAcentral lists this ribosomal RNA (1411 nucleotides) under Pediococcus pentosaceus. RNAcentral describes it as "bacterial SSU rRNA". It matches the Rfam family "Bacterial small subunit ribosomal RNA". Lineage: Bacteria; Bacillati; Bacillota; Bacilli; Lactobacillales; Lactobacillaceae. The record is from RNAcentral.